UCCGGCUUAUCACCGGCGGUUUCUUUAGAGUGCCCAACUAAAUGAUGGCAACUAAAGACGAGGGUUGCGCUCGUUGCGGGACUUAACCCAACAUCUCACGACACGAGCUGACGAUAGCCAUGCAGCACCUGUCACCGGUCCAGCCGAACUGAAGGGAUCCAUCUCUGAGCGUAGCGCGGGAUGUCAAACCCUGGUAAGGUUCUGCGCGUUGCGUCGAAUUAAACCACAUGCUCCACCGCUUGUGCGGGCCCCCGUCAAUUCCUUUGAGUUUUAGCCUUGCGGCCGUACUCCCCAGGCGGGGCACUUACUGCGUUAGCGCCGGCACCGACGGACUCAAAACCGCCGACACCUAGUGCCCAUCGUUUACGGCGUGGACUAC
Molecule: unclassified non-coding RNA, 379 nt
Filed under: uncultured Pseudomonadota bacterium
Lineage: Bacteria; Pseudomonadati; Pseudomonadota
Description: uncultured proteobacterium contains 16S-23S intergenic spacer region
Source: RNAcentral